Molecule: non-coding RNA, 821 nt
Filed under: Cherax crassimanus
Lineage: Eukaryota; Metazoa; Arthropoda; Malacostraca; Decapoda; Parastacidae
Source: RNAcentral
UAAAAGUUUGAUUCUUGCUUGUAUUUUUAUUUUACGAUUGUGUGUACAUGUAUAUUCUAGUGAGGGUAAAAGUAAGGUAUUUAAGAUGCUUUGUUUUAAAAAGGUAGGUAAUAAAAGAUCGCAGUAUGAAGUGUUAAUAAUUGGACUAAGGUUCGAUUUAGUAAAUUGUAAUAAGCUUGAUUAAAUUUUGUGCCAGCAGUCGCGGUUAGACUUAGAAGUUAAGUAAAAAUAUUUCAGUUGGAGUUAUUGAAACCUUGGGCUUUAAUUUGAAUUUAUUGGUAAUAAAGGGUGAAAUUGGUCUAUUCGAAGUAAGUUUAAGUUAGGGGAACAGGUGAGGAGAAGCUCAGGAAAUCAAGAUAUAAACUAGGAUUAGAUACCCUAUUAUACUUGAGAAAUAAAAAAUGAAACUUGAAUAUUAGAAGUUAUGGACUUUAAAUUCAAAGAAUUUGGCGGUAUUUUAGUCUUGUUAGAGGAACCUGUUCUGUAAGUGAUACUACACGUAGAAUCUUGCUUGCUUUUGUUUUCAGCUUGUAUACCGUCAUUAUUAGAUAACCUUUAUUGAGAAAGUUAUCGUACUAUAAAAAAUUAAAUAUAUUAGAUCAAGGUGCAGUUUAUAGGUAAGUAGAAAUGGGUUACAAUGAAAUUAAUUUAGACGUAUUAGUAAUUGAAAAAUUAUUAUGAAGGAGGAUUUAAUUGUAAUGUAAAUUUAAUAAGUUUAUAUGAUAUGAGAACUAGAAUAUGUACAUAUCGCCCGUCGCUUCCGUUUAAGGCGGAAUAAGUCGUAACAUAGUAGGUGUACUGGAAGGUGUACCUAGAAUUAA